Molecule: ribosomal RNA, 416 nt
Filed under: uncultured bacterium
Lineage: Bacteria
Description: bacterial SSU rRNA
Rfam family: Bacterial small subunit ribosomal RNA
Source: RNAcentral
GGCCAGCAGCCGCGGUAAAACGUAGGAGCCUAGCGUUAUCCGAAUUUACUGGGCGUAAAGCGCGUGCAGGCGGUUCGGUAAGUUGGAUGUGAAAUCUCCCGGCUCAACUGGGAGAGGUCGUUCAAUACUGUCGGACUUGAGGAUGGUAGAGGGAGGUGGAAUUCCCGGUGUAGUGGUGAAAUGCGUAGAUAUCGGGAGGAAUACCAGUGGCGAAGGCGGCCUCCUGGCCCAUUCCUGACGCUCAGACGCGAAAGCUAGGGGAGCGAACGGGAUUAGAAACCCCGGUAGUCCUAGCCGUAAACGAUGUGGACUUGGCGUUGGUGGGGUAAAAUCCAUCAGUGCCGGAGCUAACGCGGUAAGUCCACCGCCUGGGGACUACGGCCGCAAGGUUAAAACUUAAAGGAAUUGGCGGGGGA